This is a long non-coding RNA of Helianthus annuus (common sunflower), 314 nucleotides long. RefSeq lists it as uncharacterized. NCBI's taxonomy places the organism in Eukaryota, Viridiplantae, Streptophyta, Magnoliopsida, Asterales, Asteraceae. The transcript is spliced from 2 exons. The record is from RefSeq and is a predicted model, not a curated record.
ACCAAGUGAGAUUGGGGCGCACUGGUGUGGAAGAAAUAUACCAACUUGGACCGUUGAAUGAGUAUGAAAGGGUUUGUUUGGAAGAAGCUAAAAAAGAGUUGGCAGCAAGCAUUGAGAAAGGAGUUUCUUUCAUAAGGAAAUGAAAGGGUGUGAGGGUGAAGUGGUAUACAAGUAUUGAUUCUCUUAUCAUAGCUUUGUUUAUGACUUUAUGUUCCUUAUAAUGUACCCAAUCAAGUUGUACCUUAAAUAGAUGUAUCAGAAUACCUAUUUAUACUAUGCUAAUCUUAUUACAUCCAUGGUUUUUAACUUUUUUA